RNAcentral lists this ribosomal RNA (433 nucleotides) under uncultured bacterium. RNAcentral describes it as "partial 16S ribosomal RNA". It matches the Rfam family "Bacterial small subunit ribosomal RNA", at positions 29 to 507 of the family's 1533-position model. The record is from RNAcentral.
AACGAACGCUGGCGGCAGGCCUAACACAUGCAAGUCGAGCGGACCUUUCGGGGUCAGCGGCGGACGGGUGAGUAACGCGUGGGAAUAUGCCCUUCUCUACGGAAUAGUCCUGGGAAACUGGGGGUAAUACCGUAUACGCCCUUUGGGGGAAAGAUUUAUCGGGGAAGGAUUAGCCCGCGUUGGAUUAGGUAGUUGGUGGGGUAAUGGCCUACCAAGCCGACGAUCCAUAGCUGGUUUGAGAGGAUGAUCAGCCACACUGGGACUGAGACACGGCCCAGACUCCUACGGGAGGCAGCAGUGGGGAAUCUUAGACAAUGGGGGCAACCCUGAUCUAGCCAUGCCGCGUGAGUGAUGAAGGCCUUAGGGUUGUAAAGCUCUUUCAGCUGGGAGGAUAAUGACGGUACCAGCAGAAGAAGCCCCGGCUAACUCCGUG